RNAcentral lists this ribosomal RNA (253 nucleotides) under uncultured bacterium. Its description in RNAcentral is "partial 16S ribosomal RNA". It matches the Rfam family "Bacterial small subunit ribosomal RNA", at positions 524 to 776 of the family's 1533-position model. The record is from RNAcentral.
UACGUAGGCAGCAAACGUUGUUCGGAGUUACUGGGCGUAAAGAGUACGUAGGCGGUUUGCCAAGUUUGGUGUGAAAUCUCCUGGCUUAACUGGGAGGAUGCGCCGAAUACUGGCGGGCUUGAGUAUUGGAGAGGAAAGCGGAAUUCCUGGUGUAGCGAUGAAAUGCGUAGAUAUCAGGAGGAACACCGGUGGUGUAGACGGCUUUCUGGACAAUCACUGACGCUGAGGUACGAAAGCGUGGGUAGCAAACAGG